This 859-nucleotide long non-coding RNA is filed under the name Homo sapiens (human). RNAcentral's name for it is "non-protein coding DLGAP4-AS1:10". The record is from RNAcentral. Lineage: Eukaryota; Metazoa; Chordata; Mammalia; Primates; Hominidae.
GCUGCAUGGCCUACCCAUAGCGGCGGUGGGAGCCUCCGCCGGGGAGAGCCCGCUCGGGGGCAGGAAGUGGCCCGGCCCUCCUCGUGGAGGGCGUUUCCGGAGCGCCUACUGUGCUCCUUGCCGGGGUGGGGGUCGUUACCGAGUGGGAACUUCUGCAAAUCCUGACUUUUGUCACUUCGCGCCCCGCACAAGAUGUCCUGCCGGCGGUGCGAUUGGUCCCGUUGCUUCGAGGGGAAACUGAGGCCACUUAGUCCGGGCACUUACCCGCAGCUAGUUAAGGACUAGGCUCUGAUGGAGACGCUUGUUACGACCUCAAUGGCCUGUAGAAUCUGGGAGGCCGCCUCCGACCUAAGCCCAAAAAGCACAUGAUCGGGCUCACAGGGGGCGGCCAGAGGUGAAAACAGCCAACGCUUUACAACGACGCUGUGCGGGGCACUUCGUGUGUGUCAUCCCGUCUCAUCCUCGGGUGAUAGGAACUGUUCAUUCGGGAAAAUUGCAAACAACUAAAUACCCCUCACCAGGAGCUGGCCCAUUAUAGCAACUCUGAGACCUCUCUACCGCAGGCUCUUAAAAUGGGUUUUCAUCCCAACAGAAUUUUUCUGAGGAACUUGAUAUACAAAUUCUAUAAUUUAUAUUGGAAGAAUGAAGAUACAAGAAUAGUUUUUCUUUCUGCACAAAAAGGAUAAAGAAGGAGCACUCACCAGAUACCAAGGCGUGCUACAAAGCCAUGUGAUUCUGUCCAAGCUUAACAGUGGAUGUAACUGCUUCUUUGCUGUGGCAGAUUGUAUUUUCUGAAGGCCCCAACAGUCUCUCCUGUCCCUCCUCCUCUUCUGAAACCUUGAUACUUCCCUAUGAAGAG